This 538-nucleotide long non-coding RNA is filed under the name Chinchilla lanigera (long-tailed chinchilla). RNAcentral's name for it is "lncRNA (ENSCLAG00000024048.1)". The record is from RNAcentral. Lineage: Eukaryota; Metazoa; Chordata; Mammalia; Rodentia; Chinchillidae.
UCACAGCUGAGGAAGAAAAGCAGGCAUAGACACAGACAAUUACUAUAAUGCAUCUGCAAGUGCUGUGAUAUAAGGCAAUACUCAGAUUUCUACUAGCUUGGCUGUAUUUGUGUUACCAUGAAAGACCACAAACUCAAACUCCUACAGGAGCCAGGCAGGAUAUAGAAGCUGAAUGUUCCAGGGCUCACUGAGGGGUCCAACAAUGUCAGAAUCCCAGGGAAGUAGAACAGACCUUUCCCUACACAGUUGCAAGAGGCUGCCUCAGCUUCAGGUAUCCUGUCAUUGGCCGAGAGCCACAGAAGGAAAAGCCACAGUGCAGUUUUUGCAGUUUUUAAACAUGGCUGGUCAGAAGAGGCUUGUGCCUGCCCAUCGCCUGUGUUGCAAAUACAUUUUCAGAGAGAAGCCCACUUCUUGGGAUGACUUCAUCCUAUGACUAGCUCAAUCUGAUGGACAUGUGACGGGAUCCAGAUGCACAGCCCCACACAGGUGAGCACGGUAAACACGCAUCUGUUGCAUGGGGUGGUGGACAGCUCAUUGC